Molecule: long non-coding RNA, 271 nt
Filed under: Panax ginseng (ginseng)
Lineage: Eukaryota; Viridiplantae; Streptophyta; Magnoliopsida; Apiales; Araliaceae
Description: long non-coding RNA (PGIN_LNC019051)
Source: RNAcentral
GAAGCAAAUCAACAUAGUUUUUGAAAAAUAGAUUUUGAGAGAUAAAGCUAGCCACAAUUAUUUGAAACAUUCAACAAGAAUUUUCAGAUAAAUCUAACAGAAAAAACGAACAGAAAAAAAAACGAACAAUUAAUCAGUAGAAGUAUGUUUUUGAGAGUGGGGAAUCAAUUAAUCGGAUCAGAUUUUUCAAAAUCGAAGUAAAGAUUGAAGAUUUUACAGAGAUGGAAGCUAGGGUCUUUGGGGGAGAGAGAGAACAGAGCCGGAAGAUGAG